GAUGAAGAACGUAGCGAAAUGCGAUAAGUAAUGUGAAUUGCAGAAUUCAGUGAAUCAUCGAAUCUUUGAACGCACAUUGCGCCCCCCAGUAUUCUGGCGGGCAUGCCUGUUCGGGCGUCAUUUCAACCAUCAAGCCCUGCUUGUGUUGGGGUCCUGCGGCUGCCCGCAGGCCCUGAAAACCAGUGGCGGGCUCGCUAGUCACACCGAGCGCAGUAGCACAUCUCGCUCAGGGCGUGCGGCGGGCUCCAGCCGUUAAAGCACCCACCUUUCGCAAGGUUGACCUCGGAUCAGGUAGGAAUACCCGCUGAACUUAAGCAUAUCAAUAAGCGGAGGA
RNAcentral lists this unclassified non-coding RNA (334 nucleotides) under soil metagenome. RNAcentral describes it as "partial contains 5.8S ribosomal RNA, internal transcribed spacer 2, and large subunit ribosomal RNA". The stretch from base 1 to 120 matches the Rfam family "5.8S ribosomal RNA", at positions 35 to 154 of the family's 154-position model. The record is from RNAcentral.